UCCAAAGGCAUGUAGAAAUUUCAUACCGUUAUGUAUGGAAGGUUAUUAGGGUGACGCUAUCUCUCAUAAAAUUCUCAAAGGAUUUAUAACGCAAGGUGGUGAUUCAACAGGACAAAUUUCAUACAAGAUUCCCAAAUUCUUUUUUACUGUUAGUUCUACGCUAGACCUGUAAAAUAAGCAUGCAAUCUUUGGUAGAGUUACUGGACAAUCUAUAUAUAGUAUGCUUAAACUCCAAGAAGCACUUGUAGAUGAGACUGAUAGACCACUUUAUCCUCCA
Eufriesea mexicana is the source of this 277-nucleotide long non-coding RNA. RefSeq lists it as uncharacterized. The record is from RefSeq and is a predicted model, not a curated record. Lineage: Eukaryota; Metazoa; Arthropoda; Insecta; Hymenoptera; Apidae. The transcript has 3 exons.